UACGUAAAGGGCUAGCGUUGUCCAGAAUCAUUGGGCGUAAAGAGCAUGUAAGCGGUCCGAUAAAUCCGCUGUGAAAGUCGGAAGCUCAACCCUCGAAUGCCGGUGGAUACUGUCGGACUAGAGUGCGGAAGAGGCGAGUGGAAUUCCCGGUGUAGCGGUGAAAUGCGCAGAUAUCGGGAGGAACACCAAUUGCGAAGGCAGCUCGCUGGGACGUAACUGGCGCUGAGACGCGAAAGCGUGGGGAGCAAACAGG
This 253-nucleotide ribosomal RNA is filed under the name uncultured bacterium. RNAcentral's name for it is "partial 16S ribosomal RNA". It matches the Rfam family "Bacterial small subunit ribosomal RNA", at positions 524 to 776 of the family's 1533-position model. The record is from RNAcentral.